Molecule: long non-coding RNA, 280 nt
Filed under: Prunus dulcis (almond)
Lineage: Eukaryota; Viridiplantae; Streptophyta; Magnoliopsida; Rosales; Rosaceae
Description: sRNA ncRNA
Source: RNAcentral
AUGUGCCAAUCGAUGGCUGCUUUUCAAGACCAAUUGCUGUAUCUCAGUUCAGAGAAACAAAUUUGGAAAGAAUUGAAUAAACUCCAGUUUGUUGGUUUUGCAUUGUUUUCUUCUUUAUCUUUCGUCUGUUCCUCUGAGUUUCUUUUUGCACCAGACAUCACAAAUUUACCGUGCAACACAGGUAAACAGCUAAUCAAAAGAAUUGUAGACACUCAUGAACACAUUUCAAAUCAUCUAAGAUACCUUUUAAAAACAAUUUCGCACACAGAAGUAUCAACCU